Molecule: ribosomal RNA, 492 nt
Filed under: uncultured bacterium
Lineage: Bacteria
Description: partial 16S ribosomal RNA
Rfam family: Bacterial small subunit ribosomal RNA
Source: RNAcentral
AGUGAACGCUGGCGGUAGGCCUAACACAUGCAAGUCGAACGGCAGCACAGUAAGAGCUUGCUCUUACGGGUGGCGAGUGGCGGACGGGUGAGGAAUACAUCGGAAUCUACUUUUUCGUGGGGGAUAACGUAGGGAAACUUACGCUAAUACCGCAUACGACCUACGGGUGAAAGCAGGGGAUCUUCGGACCUUGCGCGAUUGAAUGAGCCGAUGUCGGAUUAGCUAGUUGGCGGGGUAAAGGCCCACCAAGGCGACGAUCCGUAGCUGGUCUGAGAGGAUGAUCAGCCACACUGGAACUGAGACACGGUCCAGACUCCUACGGGAGGCAGCAGUGGGGAAUAUUGGACAAUGGGCGCAAGCCUGAUCCAGCCAUACCGCGUGGGUGAAGAAGGUCUUCGGGUUGUAAAGCCCUUUUGAUGGGAAAGAAAAGCAGCAGGUUAAUACCCCGCUGUUCUGACGGUACCCAAAGAAUAAGCACCGGCUAACUUCGUG